Molecule: ribosomal RNA, 497 nt
Filed under: uncultured bacterium
Lineage: Bacteria
Description: partial 16S ribosomal RNA
Rfam family: Bacterial small subunit ribosomal RNA
Source: RNAcentral
GAUGAACGCUGGCGGCGUGCCUAAUACAUGCAAGUCGAGCGAACGGACGAGAAGCUUGCUUCUCUGAUGUUAGCGGCGGACGGGUGAGUAACACGUGGAUAACCUACCUAUAAGACUGGGAUAACUUCGGGAAACCGGAGCUAAUACCGGAUAAUAUUUUGAACCGCAUGGUUCAAAAGUGAAAGACGGUCUUGCUGUCACUUAUAGAUGGAUCCGCGCUGCAUUAGCUAGUUGGUAAGGUAACGGCUUACCAAGGCAACGAUGCAUAGCCGACCUGAGAGGGUGAUCGGCCACACUGCAACUGCGACACGGUCCAGACUCCUACGGGAGGCAGCAGUAGGGAAUCUUCCGCAAUGGACGAAAGCCUGACGGAGCAACGCCGCGUGAGUGAUGAAGGUCUUCGGAUCGUAAAACUCUGUUAUUAGGGAAGAACAUAUGUGUAAGUAACUGUGCACAUCUUGACGGUACCUAAUCAGAAAGCCACGGCUAACUACGAG